This 115-nucleotide non-coding RNA is filed under the name Firmicutes bacterium M10-2. Its description in RNAcentral is "FMN riboswitch aptamer (RFN element)". It matches the Rfam family "FMN riboswitch aptamer (RFN element)". Rfam says of the family: The RFN element is a highly conserved domain that is found frequently in the 5'-untranslated regions of prokaryotic mRNAs that encode for flavin mononucleotide (FMN) biosynthesis and transport proteins. This element is a metabolite-dependent riboswitch that directly binds FMN in the absence of proteins. In Bacillus subtilis, the riboswitch most likely controls gene expression by causing premature transcription termination within the 5' untranslated region of the ribDEAHT operon and precluding access to the ribosome-binding site of ypaA mRNA. Lineage: Bacteria; Bacillati; Bacillota. The record is from Rfam by way of RNAcentral. RNAcentral also lists the same sequence under 1 other name.
AUAAAUCUUCAGGGCAGGGCGUAAUUCCCUACUGGCGGUACACUCCGCGAACCUUCGGGCCGAACUGGUGAAAUUCCAGUAGCAACAGUUAAAGUCUGGAUGAAAGAAGAGUUUA